GACGAACGCUGGCGGCGUGCUUAACACAUGCAAGUCGAACGGAAAGGCCCUGCUUUUGUGGGGUGCUCGAGUGGCGAACGGGUGAGUAACACGUGAGUAGCCUGCCCUUGACUUUGGGAUAACUUCAGGAAACUGGGGCUAAUACCGGAUAGGAGCUCCUGCUGCAUGGUGGGGGUUGGAAAGUUUCGGCGGUUGGGGAUGGACUCGCGGCUUAUCAGCUUGUUGGUGGGGUAGUGGCUUACCAAGGGUUUGACGGGUAGCCGGCCUGAGAGGGUGACCGGCCACAUUGGGACUGAGAUACGGCCCAGACUCCUACGGGAGGCAGCAGUGGGGAAUAUUGCACAAUGGGCGGAAGCCUGAUGCAGCAACGCCGCGUGCGGGAUGACGGCCUUCGGGUUGUAAACCGCUUUCGCCUGUGACGAAGCGUGAGUGACGGUAAUGGGUAAAGAAGCACCGGCUAACUACGUG
This 468-nucleotide ribosomal RNA is filed under the name uncultured bacterium. RNAcentral's name for it is "partial 16S ribosomal RNA". It matches the Rfam family "Bacterial small subunit ribosomal RNA", at positions 28 to 507 of the family's 1533-position model. The record is from RNAcentral.